UUGGACCUGAUAUCAGGCAAGAUUACCCGCUGAACUUAAGCAUAUCAAUAAGCGGAGGAAAAGAAACUAACAAGGAUUCCCCUAGUAACGGCGAGUGAAGCGGGAAGAGCUCAAGCUUAAAUC
Molecule: ribosomal RNA, 123 nt
Filed under: Phytophthora lacustris
Lineage: Eukaryota; Oomycota; Peronosporomycetes; Peronosporales; Peronosporaceae
Description: partial 28S ribosomal RNA
Rfam family: Eukaryotic large subunit ribosomal RNA
Source: RNAcentral